This 253-nucleotide ribosomal RNA is filed under the name uncultured bacterium. RNAcentral's name for it is "partial 16S ribosomal RNA". It matches the Rfam family "Bacterial small subunit ribosomal RNA", at positions 524 to 776 of the family's 1533-position model. The record is from RNAcentral.
UACGAAGGGUGCAAGCGUUAUUCGGAAUUACUGGGCGUAAAGCGUGCGUAGGUGGGUUGGUAAGUCUGCUGUGAAAGCCCUGGGCUCAACCUGGGAAUGGCGGUGGAUACUGACAAGCUAGAGUGCGGUAGAGGAGGGUGGAAUUCCCGGUGUAGCGGUGAAAUGCGUAGAGAUCGGGAGGAACAUCAGUGGCGAAGGCGGCCCUCUGGACCGGCACUGACGCUGAGGCACGAAAGCGUGGGGAGCAAACAGG